GAUUUUGAUCCUGGCUCAGGACGAACGCGGGCGGCGUGCUUAACACAUGCAAGUCGAACGGAAAGGCCCCUUCGGGGGUUCACGAGUGGCGAGGGGGUGAGUAACACGUGGGUAAUCUCCCCUGCAUUUGGGGAUAACCCGGGAAAAGGGGGUUUAAUCCGGAAUAUGAACUWCUCCCCCAGGGUGGGGGUUGGAAAGUUUUUCGGUGCAGGAUGAGCUCGCGGCCUAUCAGCUUGUUGGUGGGGUAAUGGCCCACCAAGGCGACGACGGGUAGCCGGCCUGAGAGGGUGACCGGCCACACUGGGACUGAGACACGGCCCAGACUCCUACGGGAGGCAGCAGUGGGGAAUAUUGCACAAUGGGCGAAAGCCUGAUGCAGCGACGCCGCGUGAGGGAUGACGGCCUUCGGGUUGUAAACCUCUUUCAGUAGGGAAGAAGCGAAAGUGACGGUACCUGCAGAAGAGGCCC
This 468-nucleotide ribosomal RNA is filed under the name uncultured Dietzia sp. RNAcentral describes it as "bacterial SSU rRNA". It matches the Rfam family "Bacterial small subunit ribosomal RNA", at positions 9 to 493 of the family's 1533-position model. Lineage: Bacteria; Bacillati; Actinomycetota; Actinomycetes; Mycobacteriales; Dietziaceae. The record is from RNAcentral.